Molecule: ribosomal RNA, 488 nt
Filed under: uncultured bacterium
Lineage: Bacteria
Description: partial 16S ribosomal RNA
Rfam family: Bacterial small subunit ribosomal RNA
Source: RNAcentral
AGUGAACGCUGGCGGUAGGCCUAACACAUGCAAGUCGAACGGCAGCACAGUAAGAGCUUGCUCUUACGGGUGGCGAGUGGCGGACGGGUGAGGAAUACAUCGGAAUCUACUUUUUCGUGGGGGAUAACGUAGGGAAACUUACGCUAAUACCGCAUACGACCUACGGGUGAAAGCAGGGGAUCUUCGGACCUUGCGCGAUUGAAUGAGCCGAUGUCGGAUUAGCUAGUUGGCGGGGUAAAGGCCCACCAAGGCGACGAUCCGUAGCUGGUCUGAGAGGAUGAUCAGCCACACUGGAACUGAGACACGGUCCAGACUCCUACGGGAGGCAGCAGUGGGGAAUAUUGGACAAUGGGCGCAAGCCUGAUCCAGCCAUACCGCGUGGGUGAAGAAGGCCUUCGGGUGGUAAAGCCCUUUUGUUGGGAAAGAAAAGCAGCAGGUUAAUACCCCGCUGUUCUGACGGUACCCAAAGAAUAAGCACCGGCUAACUU